CGGGCCAGCUCCGCCCUGCAGCGUGUGUUCCAGACUGCCCUUCACGCAGAAUAAGCUCAAGUCCCAGUACUUCUUUGGAGAGCUUUGUGCAGGGGGUCAUGGUGGCCUGGACCACACAGCGCAGCCUCCUGGCUAGAAUCCCGAGGUCAAGACAAGAAGCCUGAUUCUCCCAUGGGGCUUCCCAGCUGGUGCAGUGGUAAAGAAUCCACCGUCAGUGCAGGAGAUGCAGAGACGCAAGAGACACGGGUUCCAUCUCUGGGUCAGGAAGUCGCCUGGAGUCGGAAAUGGCAACCUACUCCAGCAUUUUUGCCUGGAAAAUUCCAAGAACAGAGGAGCCUUGUGGGCUGCAGUCUGUGGGGUCACAAAGAGCUGGUUGCACACACACACCUGCACAUAAAGCCAUGACCUGGUUAACUUCGCAUUAAAAUUAAGCAACGCAACAAAAUGAUGAUAGUUUCAACUUUGAGAAAACAAGCUUACAUCUAAUGAAAAUUAUAAGCAGAAACUUUCCACAAUAAUCAUUUACUUCGAUUAUUUUGAAAGUUCUUGAAAAGAAAGGAAGAGGAAGAGGAGUGGUGUCUAACUGAGAAGCUGGACCUGUUCUUUUCACCGGAUGAUUGAAGAUCUGGGUGAUGCAUUCUCCGUUUUAAUGAAAGUCAUUUGCUAACACUUUUUUAAAAAAAAAUCUGCAAUCGCUAUUAAGAGUUGUAUCUCAACAGCGAAAAAAAUAAGUAAAAAGGACAACCAUGAACAACAUACCAAAAACAAAC
Molecule: long non-coding RNA, 770 nt
Organism: Bos taurus (domestic cattle)
Lineage: Eukaryota; Metazoa; Chordata; Mammalia; Artiodactyla; Bovidae
Source: Ensembl